CCCUUAGAUGUUCUGGGCUGCACACGUGCUACACUGGCAGGUUCAGCGAGCUUCAUGCCCUGAUCUGAAAGGAAUGGGAAAUCUUUUCAAAACCUGCCGUGCUUGGGAUAGAUGUUUGCAAUUAUUCAUCUUCAACGAGGAUUGCCUUGUAAGCGCACGUCAUCAGCGUCCAUUGAAUACGACCCUGUAUUCUGUACACACCGCCCGUCGCUCCUACCGAUUGAAGUUUUCGGUGAGUUGACAGGAGGAUUUUUUUGAAACUGGUUCGCCAGUGGAUUUUAGAUCCAAAUGCCAACGAAUCGAUGGCUUUAGAGGAAGGAGAAGUCGUAACA
This 332-nucleotide ribosomal RNA is filed under the name uncultured eukaryote. Its description in RNAcentral is "partial 18S ribosomal RNA". It matches the Rfam family "Eukaryotic small subunit ribosomal RNA", at positions 1470 to 1796 of the family's 1831-position model. The record is from RNAcentral.